UACACUUCUCAAAAUCAAAAUCAAAAUCAGAUUUUCCCUCAUAUCUCUCUCUUAUAAAUUGGACUUUUCCCGAGUGUUCUACGUUCUCUCUGCUCUCUAGUCUCUCUAGUCUCUAGUGAUUUCAAAAUCUCUUAUUUUUAUUUUGAAACAAACAAAUCCCUUUACUCCUUAACACUCAGCCUCUCAGACUCGGCUUCCUAGUCUCAGAUCAGGAGUUGAAAUCCUAGGCUUUUUGCUUCCUUUUCAAGGUUAAAUUCCUGAUAGCUGAGAGUUCUUUGAGGUUAUGGAACCCUCAAGUGAUGCAUCCCCUUCCCAAGCAACACCUACUGCCACAACUGAACCUGUUGCCCAAGCUGCCCAAGCUGUACCUACUGCCCAUGCUGAGGUUCCCCCACUUCCACCUAAAGGUAAAGGCAAUGUCUGUACUAAUAGGAAAAAGUCUAUUGCCUGGAACCAUUUUGAAAAAGUAGAUAUUGGUGAUGGUCAUUU
Long non-coding RNA from Quercus lobata, 489 nucleotides. RefSeq lists it as uncharacterized. The transcript is spliced from 3 exons. NCBI's taxonomy places the organism in Eukaryota, Viridiplantae, Streptophyta, Magnoliopsida, Fagales, Fagaceae. The record is from RefSeq and is a predicted model, not a curated record.